UUCACAUCUUCUGCAAGUUUAUGUGACGAUCUGUUUAAAGUUUAACAUUGACACGCGUUUAUAUCAUGGACAGUUUCAAGGAUAAAAGAUGUUACAAAACAUCAGUUUAUUAAAAUGUAUGAUGAUAGUUUACAGUUCUAUUGAAUCAAUACAAGAGUGCAGCGUCAACGGAAGUAAAUCAGCAAUUAUUUAAAGGUGGACUUCAAUAUGUAUGAUCUACUUAUGCUGCCACAAUGUAAAGGCAACAAUCACUGGGUUUUGCUGUUUGCAAGUGUUAUGUCCAGGACUGUAACCAUUUACGACUCGUUGGGUGGUAACAACAAGGCAUUGUUCGAUUUGUUCUGCCAGUUCAUGUGUCAACGAGCGCAAAUUGUGAACGAUGGCUUGGAAAAAAUUCAGUUCAGAGUUCAAAGCGCCACCUUGCAACAAACAGCGCCAUGGAAACAGCUGUGGAGUGUUUGCAUUGAUGACUGCCAAAUGUAUGGUCAUGAAAAAGCAUCCCACAAUGUUGCGACAGGCCCAUGAUUCAGCUUAUCAAGACUAGUCGUGAGACGCAGACUUCUGAUUCAUGGAGUGCGGCAAACAUAUCUGUGUGACUCGAUCACUCCACUGUAAAGACCCGCACGGCAUUAAAAUGGAUAUUAUCAAUAUGUGUUGUUGCUCGAAAAUAUGUUUUGUAGCAGGAAGUGCUUUGGGCUCGAUUAAUCUGAGAACUCAACAAAAUAUUAAUAAAAUCCUUCUGUGCCUUUUAGUUCUGAAAACAGAAGUAGCCAGUUGGUAUUACACAUCUCCUAAACAAGUACAGCACAAUAAAACUGAAGGUUUUAAAUCCUACAUUU
RNA transcript from Dreissena polymorpha, 839 nucleotides. RefSeq lists it as uncharacterized. The record is from RefSeq and is a predicted model, not a curated record. The transcript is spliced from 5 exons. NCBI's taxonomy places the organism in Eukaryota, Metazoa, Mollusca, Bivalvia, Myida, Dreissenidae.